UACGAAGGGGGCUAGCGUUGUUCGGAAUUACUGGGCGUAAAGCGCGCGCAGGCGGCUAUCCAAGUCAGUGGUGAAAGCCUGGAGCUCAACUCCGGAACUGCCAUUGAAACUGUUUAGCUUGAGGAUGAGAGAGGUGAGUGGAAUUCCCAGUGUAGAGGUGAAAUUCGUAGAUAUUGGGAAGAACACCGGUGGCGAAGGCGGCUCACUGGCUCAUUACUGACGCUCAGGCGCGAUAGCGUGGGGAUCAAACAGG
RNAcentral lists this ribosomal RNA (253 nucleotides) under uncultured bacterium. RNAcentral describes it as "partial 16S ribosomal RNA". It matches the Rfam family "Bacterial small subunit ribosomal RNA", at positions 524 to 776 of the family's 1533-position model. The record is from RNAcentral.